GCCUAAAGCGUCCGUAGCCGGCUAUGUUAGUUUUCGGUUAAAUCCAUGUGCUCAACACAUGGGCUGUCGAGAAUACUGCUUAGCUAGGGAGUGGGAGAGGUAGACGGUACUCUGGAGGAAGUGGUAAAAUGCUUUGAUCUCUAGAUGACCACCAGUGGCGAAGGCGGUCUACCAGAACACGUCCGACGGUGAGGGAUGAAAGCUGGGGGAGCAAACCGGAUUAGAUACCCGGGUAGUCCCAGCUGUAAACUAUGCAAACUCAGUGAUGCAUUGGCUUGUGGCCAAUGCAGUGCCGCAGAGAAGUCGUUAAGUUUGCCGCCUGGGAAGUACGUACGCAAGUAUGAAACUUAAAGGAAUUGGCGGGGGAGCACCACAAGGGGUGAAGCCUGCGGUUCAAUUGGAGUCAACGCCAGAAAUCUUACCCGGAGAGACAGCAGAAUGAAGGUCAAGCUGAAGACUUUACCAGACAAGCUGAGAAGUGGUGCAUGGCCGUCGCCAGCUCGUGCCGUGAGAUGUCCUGUUAAGUCAGGUAACGAGCGAGAUCCCUGCCUCUAGUUGCCACCAUUACUCUCAGGAGUAGUGGGGCGAAUUAGCGGGACUGCCGCAGUUAAUGCGGAGGAAGGAGGGGGCCACGGCAGGUCAGUAUGCCCCGAA
This 654-nucleotide ribosomal RNA is filed under the name uncultured archaeon. RNAcentral describes it as "bacterial SSU rRNA". It matches the Rfam family "Archaeal small subunit ribosomal RNA", at positions 508 to 1160 of the family's 1478-position model. The record is from RNAcentral.